CUUUGAUUAUGGCUCAGGAUGAACGCUAGCGGCAGGCUUAACACAUGCAAGUCGAGGGGCAGCGCGGGGCGGCAACGUCCUGGCGGCGACCGGCGGAAGGGUGCGUAACGCGUGAGCGACAUGCCCGUUGCCCGGGGACAACCGGUGGAAACGCCGACUAAUCCCCGAUGGGACGGAGGCCCUCAUGGGUCUCUGUUGAAAGUUACGGCGGCGACGGAUUGGCUCGCGUCCGAUUAGCUUGUUGGCGGGGUAACGGCCCACCAAGGCUACGAUCGGUAGGGGUUCUGAGAGGAAGGUCCCCCACAAUGGAACUGAGACACGGUCCAUACUCCUACGGGAGGCAGCAGUGAGGAAUAUUGGUCAAUGGGCGGAAGCCUGAACCAGCCAUGCCGCGUGCGGGAAGGAGGCCCUAUGGGCUGUGAACCGCUUUUGCCUGGGGGCAAUAAGGGCGUCGUGCACGUCCGAUGAGAGUACCAGGCGAAUAAGCAUCGGCUAACUCCGUGCCAGCAGCCGCGGUAAUACGGGGGAUGCGAGCGUUAUCCGGAUUCAUUGGGUUUAAAGGGUGCGUAGGCUGUGCGUCAAGUCAGGGGUGAAAUUCCGGGGCUCAACUCCGGGGCUGCCCUUGAUACUGUCGCGCUGGAGUGCGGAUGCCGCCGGAGGAAUGAGUGGUGUAGCGGUGAAAUGCUUAGAUAUCACUCAGAACACCGAUUGCGAAGGCAUCUGGCGAAUCCGUAACUGACGCUGAGGCACGAAAGCGUGGGGAUAGAACAGGAUUAGAUACCCUGGUAUUCCACGCCGUAAACGAUGAUGGCUAACCGCCGGCGACACACUGUCGGUGGCCAAGCGAAAGCGAUAAGCCAUCCACCUGGGGAGUACGUCGGCAACGAUGCAACUCAAAGGAAUUGACGG
RNAcentral lists this ribosomal RNA (909 nucleotides) under uncultured Bacillota bacterium. RNAcentral describes it as "bacterial SSU rRNA". It matches the Rfam family "Bacterial small subunit ribosomal RNA", at positions 11 to 916 of the family's 1533-position model. The record is from RNAcentral. Lineage: Bacteria; Bacillati; Bacillota.